RNAcentral lists this ribosomal RNA (498 nucleotides) under DMSP-degrading marine bacterium JA27. RNAcentral describes it as "bacterial SSU rRNA". It matches the Rfam family "Bacterial small subunit ribosomal RNA", at positions 382 to 872 of the family's 1533-position model. The record is from RNAcentral. Lineage: Bacteria; Pseudomonadati; Pseudomonadota; Gammaproteobacteria.
CCUGAUGCAGCCAUGCCGCGUGUGUGAAGAAGGCCUUCGGGUUGUAAAGCACUUUCAGCGAAGAGGAAAGGUUAACGGUUAAUACCCGUUAGCUGUGACGUUACUCGCAGAAGAAGCACCGGCUAACUUCGUGCCAGCAGCCGCGGUAAUACGAGGGGUGCAAGCGUUAAUCGGAAUUACUGGGCGUAAAGCGUACGCAGGCGGUUUGUUAAGCGAGAUGUGAAAGCCCCGGGCUCAACCUGGGAACUGCAUUUCGAACUGGCAAACUAGAGUCUUGUAGAGGGGGGUAGAAUUUCAGGUGUAGCGGUGAAAUGCGUAGAGAUCUGAAGGAAUACCGGUGGCGAAGGCGGCCCCCUGGACAAAGACUGACGCUCAGGUACGAAAGCGUGGGGAGCAAACAGGAUUAGAUACCCUGGUAGUCCACGCCGUAAACGAUGUCUACUCGGAAUUUGGUGUCUUGAACACUGGGUUCUCAAGCUAACGCAUUAAGUAGACCGC